GAUGAACGCUGGCGGCGUGCCUAAUACAGGAAAGUCGAGCGAACGGACGAGAAGCUUGCUUCUCUGAUGUUAGCGGCGGACGGGUGAGUAACACGUGGAUAAAAUACCUAUAAGACUGGGAUAACUUCGGGAAACCGUAGCUAAUACCGGAUAAUAUUUUGAACCGCAUGGUUCAAAAGUGAAAGACGGUCUUGCUGUCACUUAUAGAUGGAUCCGCGCUGCAUUAGCUAGUUGGUAAGGUAACGGCUUACCAAGGCAACGAUGCAUAGCCGACCUGAGAGGGUGAUCGGCCACACUGGAACUGAGACACGGUCCAGACUCCUACGGGAGGCAGCAGUAGGGAAUCUUCCGCAAUGGGCGAAAGCCUGACGGAGCAACGCCGCGUGAGUGAUGAAGGUCUUCGGAUCGUAAAACUCUGUUAUUAGGGAAGAACAUAUGUGUAAGUAACUGUGCACAUCUUGACGGUACCUAAUCAGAAAGCCACGGCUAACUACGUG
RNAcentral lists this ribosomal RNA (497 nucleotides) under uncultured bacterium. Its description in RNAcentral is "partial 16S ribosomal RNA". It matches the Rfam family "Bacterial small subunit ribosomal RNA", at positions 28 to 507 of the family's 1533-position model. The record is from RNAcentral.